This 44-nucleotide ribosomal RNA is filed under the name Vararia sp. KUC20131022-19. RNAcentral describes it as "partial 28S ribosomal RNA". Lineage: Eukaryota; Fungi; Basidiomycota; Agaricomycetes; Russulales; Lachnocladiaceae. The record is from RNAcentral.
UCGACCUCAGAUCAGGUGGGGCUACCCGCUGAACUUAAGCAUAU